RNAcentral lists this ribosomal RNA (459 nucleotides) under uncultured bacterium. Its description in RNAcentral is "partial 16S ribosomal RNA". It matches the Rfam family "Bacterial small subunit ribosomal RNA", at positions 338 to 795 of the family's 1533-position model. The record is from RNAcentral.
CCUACGGGAGGCAGCAGUGAGGAAUAUUGGUCAAUGGUCGGGAGACUGAACCAGCCAAGCCGCGUGAGGGAUGAAGGUACAGAGUAUCGUAAACCUCUUUUGUCAGGGAACAAAGGCGGGGACGUGUCCCCGGCUGAGUGUACCUUAAGAAAAAGCAUCGGCUAACUCCGUGCCCGCAGCCGCGGUAAUACGGAGGAUGCGGGCGUUAUCCGGGUUUAUUGGGUUAAAAGGGUGCGCCGGCGGUCUGUUAAGUCAGCGGUAAAAGCCCGGGGCUCAACCCCGGCCCGCCGUUGAAACUGGCAGUCUCGAGUUGGAGAGAAGUAUGCGGAAUGCGCGGUGUAGCGGUGAAAUGCAUAGAUAUCGCGCAGAACUCCGAUUGCGAAGGCAGCAUGCCGGCUCCACACUGACGCUGAGGCACGAAAGCGUGGGUAUCGAACAGGAUUAGAUACCCCAGUAGUC